UCGAGAAUUUUUCUCAAUGGGCGCAAGCCUGAAGGAGCGACGCCGCGUGGGGGAUGAAUGGCUUCGGCCCGUAAACCCCUGUCAUUUGCGAACAAACCUUACGGUUGAACAGACCGUGAGCUGAUUGUAGCGGAAGAGGAAGGGACGGCUAACUCUGUGCCAGCAGCCGCGGUAAUACAGAGGUCCCAAGCGUUGUUCGGAUUCACUGGGCGUAAAGGGUGCGUAGGUGGCAGGGUAAGUUUGAUGUGAAAUCUCCGAGCUUAACUCGGAAACUGCAUUGAAUACUAUCCUGCUUGAGGGUUGGAGGGGAGACUGGAAUUCUCGGUGUAGCAGUGAAAUGCGUAGAUAUCGAGAGGAACACCAGUGGCGAAGGCGAGUCUCUGGACAACUCCUGACACUGAGGCACGAAAGCUAGGGGAGCAAACAGGAUUAGAUACCCCCGUAGUCC
This 448-nucleotide ribosomal RNA is filed under the name uncultured bacterium. RNAcentral's name for it is "bacterial SSU rRNA". It matches the Rfam family "Bacterial small subunit ribosomal RNA", at positions 355 to 796 of the family's 1533-position model. The record is from RNAcentral.